AGCGUACACGGUGGAUGCCCUGGCAGUCAGAGGCGAUGAAGGACGUGCUAAUCUGCGAUAAGCGUCGGUAAGGUGAUAUGAACCGUUAUAACCGGCGAUUUCCGAAUGGGGAAACCCAGUGUGAUUCGUCACACUAUCAUUAACUGAAUCCAUAGGUUAAUGAGGCGAACCGGGGGAACUGAAACAUCUAAGUACCCCGAGGAAAAGAAAUCAACCGAGAUUCCCCCAGUAGCGGCGAGCGAACGGGGAGCAGCCCAGAGCCUGAAUCAGUGUGUGUGUUAGUGGAAGCGUCUGGAAAGGCGCGCGAUACAGGGUGACAGCCCCGUACACAAAAAUGCACAUGCUGUGAGCUCGAUGAGUAGGGCGGGACACGUGGUAUCCUGUCUGAAUAUGGGGGGACCAUCCUCCAAGGCUAAAUACUCCUGACUGACCGAUAGUGAACCAGUACCGUGAGGGAAAGGCGAAAAGAACCCCGGCGAGGGGAGUGAAAAAGAACCUGAAACCGUGUACGUACAAGCAGUGGGAGCCUCUUUAUGGGGUGACUGCGUACCUUUUGUAUAAUGGGUCAGCGACUUAUAUUCUGUAGCAAGGUUAACCGAAUAGGGGAGCCGAAGGGAAACCGAGUCUUAACUGGGCGUUAAGUUGCAGGGUAUAGACCCGAAACCCGGUGAUCUAGCCAUGGGCAGGUUGAAGGUUGGGUAACACUAACUGGAGGACCGAACCGACUAAUGUUGAAAAAUUAGCGGAUGACUUGUGGCUGGGGGUGAAAGGCCAAUCAAACCGGGAGAUAGCUGGUUCUCCCCGAAAGCUAUUUAGGUAGCGCCUCGUGAAUUCAUCUCCGGGGGUAGAGCACUGUUUCGGCAAGGGGGUCAUCCCGACUUACCAACCCGAUGCAAACUGCGAAUACCGGAGAAUGUUAUCACGGGAGACACACGGCGGGUGCUAACGUCCGUCGUGAAGAGGGAAACAACCCAGACCGCCAGCUAAGGUCCCAAAGUCAUGGUUAAGUGGGAAACGAUGUGGGAAGGCCCAGACAGCCAGGAUGUUGGCUUAGAAGCAGCCAUCAUUUAAAGAAAGCGUAAUAGCUCACUGGUCGAGUCGGCCUGCGCGGAAGAUGUAACGGGGCUAAACCAUGCACCGAAGCUGCGGCAGCGACGCUUAUGCGUUGUUGGGUAGGGGAGCGUUCUGUAAGCCUGCGAAGGUGUGCUGUGAGGCAUGCUGGAGGUAUCAGAAGUGCGAAUGCUGACAUAAGUAACGAUAAAGCGGGUGAAAAGCCCGCUCGCCGGAAGACCAAGGGUUCCUGUCCAACGUUAAUCGGGGCAGGGUGAGUCGACCCCUAAGGCGAGGCCGAAAGGCGUAGUCGAUGGGAAACAGGUUAAUAUUCCUGUACUUGGUGUUACUGCGAAGGGGGGACGGAGAAGGCUAUGUUGGCCGGGCGACGGUUGUCCCGGUUUAAGCGUGUAGGCUGGUUUUCCAGGCAAAUCCGGAAAAUCAAGGCUGAGGCGUGAUGACGAGGCACUACGGUGCUGAAGCAACAAAUGCCCUGCUUCCAGGAAAAGCCUCUAAGCAUCAGGUAACAUCAAAUCGUACCCCAAACCGACACAGGUGGUCAGGUAGAGAAUACCAAGGCGCUUGAGAGAACUCGGGUGAAGGAACUAGGCAAAAUGGUGCCGUAACUUCGGGAGAAGGCACGCUGAUAUGUAGGUGAAGUCCCUUGCGGAUGGAGCUGAAAUCAGUCGAAGAUACCAGCUGGCUGCAACUGUUUAUUAAAAACACAGCACUGUGCAAACACGAAAGUGGACGUAUACGGUGUGACGCCUGCCCGGUGCCGGAAGGUUAAUUGAUGGGGUUAGCGGUAACGCGAAGCUCUUGAUCGAAGCCCCGGUAAACGGCGGCCGUAACUAUAACGGUCCUAAGGUAGCGAAAUUCCUUGUCGGGUAAGUUCCGACCUGCACGAAUGGCGUAAUGAUGGCCAGGCUGUCUCCACCCGAGACUCAGUGAAAUUGAACUCGCUGUGAAGAUGCAGUGUACCCGCGGCAAGACGGAAAGACCCCGUGAACCUUUACUAUAGCUUGACACUGAACAUUGAGCCUUGAUGUGUAGGAUAGGUGGGAGGCUUUGAAGUGUGGACGCCAGUCUGCAUGGAGCCGACCUUGAAAUACCACCCUUUAAUGUUUGAUGUUCUAACGUUGGCCCCUGAUCGGGGUUGCGGACAGUGUCUGGUGGGUAGUUUGACUGGGGCGGUCUCCUCCUAAAGAGUAACGGAGGAGCACGAAGGUUGGCUAAUCCUGGUCGGACAUCAGGAGGUUAGUGCAAUGGCAUAAGCCAGCUUGACUGCGAGCGUGACGGCGCGAGCAGGUGCGAAAGCAGGUCAUAGUGAUCCGGUGGUUCUGAAUGGAAGGGCCAUCGCUCAACGGAUAAAAGGUACUCCGGGGAUAACAGGCUGAUACCGCCCAAGAGUUCAUAUCGACGGCGGUGUUUGGCACCUCGAUGUCGGCUCAUCACAUCCUGGGGCUGAAGUAGGUCCCAAGGGUAUGGCUGUUCGCCAUUUAAAGUGGUACGCGAGCUGGGUUUAGAACGUCGUGAGACAGUUCGGUCCCUAUCUGCCGUGGGCGCUGGAGAACUGAGGGGGGCUGCUCCUAGUACGAGAGGACCGGAGUGGACGCAUCACUGGUGUUCGGGUUGUCAUGCCAAUGGCACUGCCCGGUAGCUAAAUGCGGAAGAGAUAAGUGCUGAAAGCAUCUAAGCACGAAACUUGCCCCGAGAUGAGUUCU
RNAcentral lists this ribosomal RNA (2774 nucleotides) under human gut metagenome. RNAcentral's name for it is "bacterial LSU rRNA". It matches the Rfam family "Bacterial large subunit ribosomal RNA". The record is from RNAcentral.